GACGAACGCUGGCGGCGUGCUUAACACAUGCAAGUCGAACGGAAAGGCCCCCUUGUGGGGUACUCGAGUGGCGAACGGGUGAGUAACACGUGAGUAACCUACCCUUGACUUUGGGAUAACUUCAGGAAACUGGGGCUAAUACCGGAUAGGAGCUCCUGCUGCAUGGUGGGGGUUGGAAAGUUUCGGCGGUUGGGGAUGGACUCGCGGCUUAUCAGCUUGUUGGUGGGGUAGUGGCUCACCAAGGCUUUGACGGGUAGCCGGCCUGAGAGGGUGACCGGCCACAUUGGGACUGAGAUACGGCCCAGACUCCUACGGGAGGCAGCAGUGGGGAAUAUUGCACAAUGGGCGGAAGCCUGAUGCAGCAACGCCGCGUGCGGGAUGACGGCCUUCGGGUUGUAAACCGCUUUCGCCUGUGACGAAGCGUGAGUGGCGGUAAUGGGUAAAGAAGCACCGGCUAACUACGU
Molecule: ribosomal RNA, 464 nt
Filed under: uncultured bacterium
Lineage: Bacteria
Description: partial 16S ribosomal RNA
Rfam family: Bacterial small subunit ribosomal RNA
Source: RNAcentral